This 375-nucleotide ribosomal RNA is filed under the name uncultured organism. Its description in RNAcentral is "partial 16S ribosomal RNA". It matches the Rfam family "Bacterial small subunit ribosomal RNA", at positions 527 to 896 of the family's 1533-position model. The record is from RNAcentral.
GUAGGUGGCAAGCGUUGUCCGGGAAUUAUUGGGGCGUAAAGCGCGCGCAGGCGGUUCUUUAAGUCUGAUGUGAAAGCCCACGGGCUCAACCGUGGAGGGUCAUUGGAAACUGGAGAACUUGAGUACAGAAGAGGAAAGCGGAAUUCCACGUGUAGCGGUGAAAUGCGUAGAGAUGUGGAGGAACACCAGUGGCGAAGGCGGCUUUCUGGUCUGUAACUGACGCUGAGGCGCGAAAGCGUGGGGAGCGAACAGGAUUAGAUACCCUGGUAGUCCACGCCGUAAACGAUGAGUGCUAAGUGUUAGGGGGUUUCCGCCCCUUAGUGCUGCAGCUAACGCAUUAAGCACUCCGCCUGGGGAGUACGGCCGCAAAGGCUG